GGCUCAGAACGAACGUUGGCGGCGUGGAUUAGGCAUGCAAGUCGAACGAAUCCCAGUCUUGUAGCAAUACCGGGCUGGGGGAAGUGGCGAAAGGGGCAGUAAGGCAUGGGUAAUCUACCCCAGGGACGUGGAUAGCCAUUCUAACGAGUGGGUAAUACGCGGCGAUUCAGCGGAGGGGCAUCUCUCUGCUGGGAAAUGAAUUUCGCCUUGGGAGGAGCUCAUGUGAUAUUAGCUAGUUGGUGGGGUAACGGCCCACCAAGGCAAAGAUGUCUAGCGGGUGUGAGAGCACGACCCGCGCCACUGGCACUGAGACACUGGCCAGACACCUACGGGUGGCUGCAGUCGAGGAUCUUUGGCAAUGGGCGAAAGCCUGACCAAGCGACGCCGCGUGUGCGAUGAAGGCCUUCGGGUUGUAAAGCACUGUCGAGGGGGACGAAGCCGCAAGGUUGACCGAUCCCUGGAGGAAGCUCGGGCUAAGUUCGUGCCAGCAGCCGCGGUAAGACGAACCGAGCGAACGUUGUUCGGAAUCACUGGGCUUAAAGGGCGCGUAGGCGGCUUGCCAAGUCGGUGGUGAAAUCCUGCAGCUUAACUGUAGAAGUGCCUCCGAUACUGGCGAGCUUGAGGGAGGUAGGGGUCUUUGGAACUUCUGGUGGAGCGGUGAAAUGCGUUGAUAUCAGAAGGAACGCCGGUGGCGAAAGCGAAGGACUGGACCUCUUCUGACGCUGAGGCGCGAAAGCUAGGGGAGCGAACGGGAUUAGAUACCCCGGUAGUCCUAGCCCUAAACGAUGGGUACUAGAUUGUAGACUAAUUAUGGGUUUACAGUCGAAGCAAAAGUUCUAAGUACCCCGCCCUGGGGAGUAUGGUCGCA
Molecule: ribosomal RNA, 868 nt
Filed under: uncultured bacterium
Lineage: Bacteria
Description: bacterial SSU rRNA
Rfam family: Bacterial small subunit ribosomal RNA
Source: RNAcentral